Long non-coding RNA from Pseudophryne corroboree (corroboree frog), 312 nucleotides. RefSeq lists it as uncharacterized. The transcript is spliced from 3 exons. Lineage: Eukaryota; Metazoa; Chordata; Amphibia; Anura; Myobatrachidae. The record is from RefSeq and is a predicted model, not a curated record.
UGGGUGGGCGACUUUCUGCCUAUCACGUGACCACCCGUCACUACCGGCUUCGUCAAGCUUGUCAGACCGGGAGACCUUGUGGGCUGUGAACGAGGAGGUGUGACUGGGUCUCAAGCACCGUAUGUGGGGAGUGAGGGUUAUUUAGCAGAUUAUUGGAUGGGAAGUCUGAGGAGCCCAGAACUAAUUGAUCAAACCGAAGCGAAAGCAGAUGAUUGAAAGGAUUCGCCUUCCAUUACAGUGAUGUUUCCAAGUAUAACCUAUGUGGCAAGUAUUCUGUUUUUUAUUCCGUAUUGGUAGAAAUAAACUAGUCAU